Molecule: unclassified non-coding RNA, 255 nt
Filed under: plant metagenome
Description: partial contains small subunit ribosomal RNA, internal transcribed spacer 1, and 5.8S ribosomal RNA
Source: RNAcentral
UUUCCGUAGGUGAACCUGCGGAAGGAUCAUUACCGAGUGAGGGUCUCUCAGGCCCGACCUCCCACCCUGUGUUUUUGUGACCUUGUUGCUUUUGCGGGCCCGCCUCGAUUAUAGGCCGCCGGAAGCUUACCGUUUUGGGCCCGUGCCCGUCAGUAGCCCCCUUAAAUUAUUAAUAAACCUAUCGUCUUAGUUAAUGGAUAUAAUGAAAAAAAACUUUCAACAACGGAUCUCUUGGUUCUGGCAUAGAUGAAGAAC